This 682-nucleotide ribosomal RNA is filed under the name uncultured bacterium. Its description in RNAcentral is "bacterial SSU rRNA". It matches the Rfam family "Bacterial small subunit ribosomal RNA", at positions 139 to 808 of the family's 1533-position model. The record is from RNAcentral.
GGGGAUAACACUUGGAAACAGGUGCUAAUACCGCAUAACCAUAGUUACCGCAUGGUAACUAUGUAAAAGGUGGCUAUACUACCGCUUUUGGAUGGGCCCGCGGCGCAUUAGCUAGUUGGUAGGGUAAAGGCUUACCAAGGCAAUGAUGCGUAGCCGAAUUGAGAGGUUGAUCGGCCACAUUGGGACUGAGACACGGCCCAAACUCCUACGGGAGGCAGCAGUAGGGAAUCUUCCACAAUGGGCGAAAGCCUGAUGGAGCAACGCCGCGUGGGUGAAGAAGGUCUUCGGAUCGUAAAACCCUGUUGUUAGAGAAGAAAGUGCGUGAGAGUAACUGUUCACGUUUCGACGGUAUCUAACCAGAAAGCCACGGCUAACUACGUGCCAGCAGCCGCGGUAAUACGUAGGUGGCAAGCGUUAUCCGGAUUUAUUGGGCGUAAAGGGAACGCAGGCGGUCUUUUAAGUCUGAUGUGAGAGCCUUCGGCUUAACCGGAGUAGUGCAUUGGAAACUGGGAGACUUGAGUGCAGAAGAGGAGAGUGGAACUCCAUGUGUAGCGGUGAAAUGCGUAGAUAUAUGGAAGAACACCAGUGGCGAAAGCGGCUCUCUGGUCUGUAACUGACGCUGAGGUUCGAAAGCGUGGGUAGCAAACAGGAUUAGAUACCCUGGUAGUCCACGCCGUAAACG